GGCGAACGCUGGCGGCGUGCUUAACACAUGCAAGUCGAACGGUGAAGCUCCAGCUUGCUGGAGUGGAUCAGUGGCGAACGGGUGAGUAACACGUGAGCAACCUGCCCCAGACUCUGGAAUAAGCGCUGGAAACGGCGUCUAAUACUGGAUACGAGAUCAAGCCGCAUGGUUAUGGUCUGGAAAGUUUUUCGGUUUGGGAUGGGCUCGCGGCCUAUCAGCUUGUUGGUGAGGUAAUGGCUCACCAAGGCGACGACGGGUAGCCGGCCUGAGAGGGCGACCGGCCACACUGGGACUGAGACACGGCCCAGACUCCUACGGGAGGCAGCAGUGGGGAAUAUUGCACAAUGGGCGAAAGCCUGAUGCAGCGACGCCGCGUGAGGGAUGACGGCCUUCGGGUUGUAAACCUCUUUCAGCAGGGAAGAAGCGAAAGUGACGGUACCUGCAGAAGAAGCACCGGCUAACUACGUG
Molecule: ribosomal RNA, 468 nt
Filed under: uncultured bacterium
Lineage: Bacteria
Description: partial 16S ribosomal RNA
Rfam family: Bacterial small subunit ribosomal RNA
Source: RNAcentral